UCUGUGGCCACCCUGUGUUCCCCUGUAACCAUGACUUAUCUAUAGUCCUUCUGCUAGAAAUGUUCACUCUCCAUCUCCACAUGUGGAGAUUUAAAGGAUCUGUGGUGCCUUUAAAGGCUUCCUGGACAUGAUGGUCCCUUCUCAACACAUAGCAAAAGCAGAAUGACCAGUCAUUGGGAAAUACAACUGAAAACCCAAUUUGGAGAUGUAUGUCUCUAGUUUGACAACAUCAUCUACAGCUGAUGACCUGCUGUUCCGAGGGCAGGGUAGCUCUCCCUUUCAAAAUGUACCCCACUGUUUGGCUGCCUCUAUGGAGGUCAGGAAAAGAAAGUCGCUGGAACACACAGUGGACAGCAGGUGGAAAACCCCAGGAAAAGGGAUCUCGACAGCCGUGGGUGAGCAUGUGCUUACUCCAAGUGCAGCCUGGGUGAGUGCUUCACGUAUCAUUUCACUUAGUCCCAAGAAUACCCUAAUGACGUAGGGUCUGCUCAUUUUGUAGAUGAACAACUGAAGCUCAGAAAGGUAAAGAAACAUGACCAGGGGCACACAGCUCGUAAGACACGGGCCAAGGAUUCCAUUCCACGGGAGUCCAAGUCCCUUUAUCUUGGAAGUGGGUACCAGAGGACAGGGUCCCCACAAACAUGGGACCUGACAAGGCCCUGCCCUCAGAAGAGCCUGUGCUUUGUUCGAUUCUCUGCAGUCACUGUCUUGAAAUGCUCAAUAAUUUUUGGAUUAGGAGUCCCACAUUUUCAUUUUGUAUGUGGCACCUGUUAUGGCCCCAGGAUUCACAUGUUGAAGCCCUAACCCCCAUGUGAUGGGAUUUGGAAAUAGAGUAUUUUGGAGAAAAUUAGGGUUACAUAAGUCAUGGAGAUGGGACCCCCAUGAUAGGAUUAGUGGCAUUAUAAGAAGAAGAAGAUAGAUUUCUCAAUCCUCUGCUCAUAUCAUGUAAGAACACAGUGGCCGUCUGCAAGCUAGAAAGAGAACCCUUAACAGAAUCUGACCAUGCCAGCACUCUGACCUUGGACUUCCAGCCUCCAGAACUGUAAGAAAUAAAUUUCUGCUGUUUAAGCCAUCCAGUCUAUGAUAUUUUUGUUAUGGCAACUUGACCUAAGACUCAUAUCUAGAUCAAGUUCACACACACCACAGGAAUCCAGCAUGGUCUCACCACAAUGGUGGGUAACCUUGACCCCACCCACCAUCCACACUUCACCUUGACUAACACAUGAUAGAGGCAUUUCACUGGCAUGCACUGUAUAUGGAGUGCAAGCUUUGAGCAAAGCAAAAUCAAAUCCAAGCAGAAUAGAU
This 1305-nucleotide long non-coding RNA is filed under the name Homo sapiens (human). RNAcentral describes it as "HSALNT0273180". Lineage: Eukaryota; Metazoa; Chordata; Mammalia; Primates; Hominidae. The record is from RNAcentral.